This 276-nucleotide long non-coding RNA is filed under the name Oryza sativa Indica Group (long-grained rice). RNAcentral's name for it is "lncRNA OsMH63_02G018880". Lineage: Eukaryota; Viridiplantae; Streptophyta; Magnoliopsida; Poales; Poaceae. The record is from RNAcentral. RNAcentral also lists the same sequence under 2 other names.
CCAUCUCCUUUUCGUUUGGUUGUUGACGUUCUGCGAUCGACCUUUUGCUUGAAUGAGAACUCCCUGGCUUUAGCUCUUCGGGCUUGUUUAGGUGGAUCUCCUAUUGAUUUCUAUCUUAGAUCUUUUAUUUGCCGCCAUUUCAUCUUCGUUUUUUCUUGUGGCGCAAUGGAGGUCCUAAUUGGUCUUAUGAGUUCAUGCGCUAGGAAAAAGAGCAAUCAGAUGAAUGGACUAUUGUCAAGAGAAAGAAAGGCAAAUCUCCUUCAAAUCAUUCAGUGA